This 201-nucleotide ribosomal RNA is filed under the name uncultured bacterium. RNAcentral describes it as "partial 16S ribosomal RNA". It matches the Rfam family "Bacterial small subunit ribosomal RNA", at positions 1300 to 1500 of the family's 1533-position model. The record is from RNAcentral.
GUAGUCUGCAAUCCGACUACAUGAAGCUGGAAUCGCUAGUAAUCGCGGAUCAGAAUGCCGCGGUGAAUACGUUCCCGGGUCUUGUACACACCGCCCGUCACACCAUGGGAGUCGAAAAUGCCCGAAGUCUGUGACCCAACCUUAGGGAGGGAGCAGCCGAAGGCAGGUCGGAUGACUGGGGUGAAGUCGUAACAAGGUAGC